UACGGAGGAUGCGAGCGUUAUCCGGAUUUAUUGGGUUUAAAGGGUGCGUAGGCGGUCCGUUAAGUCAGCGGUAAAAUUGCGGGGCUCAACCCCGUCGAGCCGUUGAAACUGGCAGACUUGAGUUGGCGAGAAGUACGCGGAAUGCGCGGUGUAGCGGUGAAAUGCAUGGAUAUCGCGCAGAACUCCGAUUGCGAAGGCAGCGUACCGGCGCCAGACUGACGCUGAGGCACGAAAGCGUGGGGAUCGAACAGG
Molecule: ribosomal RNA, 252 nt
Filed under: uncultured bacterium
Lineage: Bacteria
Description: partial 16S ribosomal RNA
Rfam family: Bacterial small subunit ribosomal RNA
Source: RNAcentral